Molecule: long non-coding RNA, 906 nt
Organism: Mesocricetus auratus (golden hamster)
Lineage: Eukaryota; Metazoa; Chordata; Mammalia; Rodentia; Cricetidae
Exons: 4
Source: RefSeq, a predicted model, not a curated record
GCAGGAAAAACAGGAAGUCAGCCAGUGCCCCUACUCCUUAGGAACUCCCAAUAUGACAGAAAGUGUUUCUGAGCUUGAGAGCCGGGAAAGACCUCUCAGAGGAGAUGGAUGAGCGGAGCCUCGGAGGCUGGAGGACCAUACGAGACCCAGCAUGAUCUUGCCAUCAGGUGCUGUGACAACCUCUUAUGUCACAAGUGGGUCCUAUUGUUCCCAAGUUCCUCUCCCCUCCCAAGUCUGAGUCCUGGCAUCUCAUUAGUGCUCUGACCCCCUGGGGUGAGGAUCCAGGAGGGAGGUGGAUGCUGAGUUGCUAACGGACACUUAUUCUCCAGCAUUAGUGACUGCUGGGACAGGUUUUGCUAGGAAGGAGACAAAGAAGCGGAGAGCAGGGCCGGGGAAGUGGCAUAAUGGUUAAGAGCCCUUUGGAACUCUCAAGGACACCGUACACUCUCCCCUCCCUUUCCUCUAUUGUCUGUGACAAGAAGGGGAGAAUGACAGCAGGUUGGUGAGGACUAGCCUCAGUGUCCUGCUCUUCGUGACAGCCUUCUGAAGUCACUUCAUGUCCCACACCUCUGCUGCCUCCUGUAGAACGCAGACAGCAACACCAGCCCCUUGAGCUUUUGUGAGGAUCAUCAGGUAGCAUGCUCAGUGCUGGGGGUAGAAGAGAGCCUCAGUAGAUACAGGUCGAACUGAACUGAAGACACUAGCAAGGUGGCACGGUGUGGUAUGUUGAAAAGGAAUCCUUCCGCUGCAGCGCUGCUCGUAUCCUGCAAGAGGCGGACUUGUCAUCUCAUCCUCAGCGGAGCCGGGGCUAGGAUUGGCACGGGGGGAUGGGGGAAGCACGAAGGAAAAACAGCCCCACGCGUCACUCACAUAUUUACAUCGCAACUGUCAAAAUAGUUAUUUUUA